RNAcentral lists this ribosomal RNA (253 nucleotides) under uncultured bacterium. RNAcentral describes it as "partial 16S ribosomal RNA". It matches the Rfam family "Bacterial small subunit ribosomal RNA", at positions 524 to 776 of the family's 1533-position model. The record is from RNAcentral.
UACGUAGGUGGCAGGCGUUAUCCGGAUUUAUUGGGUGUAAAGGGCGUGUAGGCGGGAAUGCAAGUCAGAUGUGAAAACUAUGGGCUCAACCCAUAGCCUGCAUUUGAAACUGUAUUUCUUGAGUGCUGGAGAGGCAAUCGGAAUUCCGUGUGUAGCGGUGAAAUGCGUAGAUAUACGGAGGAACACCAGUGGCGAAGGCGGAUUGCUGGACAGUAACUGACGCUGAGGCGCGAAAGCGUGGGGAGCAAACAGG